ACCAGACUCCUACGGGAGGCAGCAGUGGGGAAUAUUGCACAAUGGGGGAAACCCUGAUGCAGCGACGCCGCGUGAGUGAAGAAGUAAUUCGUUAUGCAAAGCUCUAUCAGCAGGGAAGAAAAUGACGGUACCUGAGUAAGAAGCCCCGGCUAACUACGUGCCAGCAGCCGCGGUAAUACGUAGGGGGCAAGCGUUAUCCGGAUUUACUGGGUGUAAAGGGAGCGUAGACGGCAGUGCAAGUCUGGAGUGAAAGGCGGGGGCUCAACCCCCGGACUGCUCUGGAAACUGUGCGGCUGGAGUGCAGGAGAGGUAAGUGGAAUUCCUGGUGUAGCGGUGAAAUGCGUAGAUAUUAGGAGGAACACCAGUGGCGGAGGCGGCGUACUGGACGGUAACUGACGCUGAGGCGCGAAAGCGUGGGGAGCAAACAGGAUUAGAUACCCUUGUAAAU
This 448-nucleotide ribosomal RNA is filed under the name uncultured bacterium. Its description in RNAcentral is "bacterial SSU rRNA". It matches the Rfam family "Bacterial small subunit ribosomal RNA", at positions 330 to 794 of the family's 1533-position model. The record is from RNAcentral.